GAUGAAGAACGUAGCAAAAUGCGAUAAGUAAUGUGAAUUGCAGAAUUCAGUGAAUCAUCGAAUCUUUGAACGCACAUUGCGCCCGCCAGUAUUCUGGCGGGCAUGCCUGUUCGAGCGUCAUUUCAACCCUCAAGCACAGCUUGGUGUUGGGACUCGCGUUAAUUCGCGUUCCUCAAAUUGAUUGGCGGUCACGUCGAGCUUCCAUAGCGUAGUAGUAAAACCCUCGUUACUGGUAAUCGUCGCGGCGACGCCGUUAAACCCCAACUUCUGAAUGUUGACCUCGGAUCAGGUAGGAAUACCCGCUGAACUUAAGCAUAUCAAUAAGCGGAGGA
This 332-nucleotide unclassified non-coding RNA is filed under the name soil metagenome. RNAcentral's name for it is "partial contains 5.8S ribosomal RNA, internal transcribed spacer 2, and large subunit ribosomal RNA". The stretch from base 1 to 120 matches the Rfam family "5.8S ribosomal RNA", at positions 35 to 154 of the family's 154-position model. The record is from RNAcentral.